This 433-nucleotide ribosomal RNA is filed under the name uncultured bacterium. RNAcentral's name for it is "partial 16S ribosomal RNA". It matches the Rfam family "Bacterial small subunit ribosomal RNA", at positions 29 to 507 of the family's 1533-position model. The record is from RNAcentral.
AACGAACGCUGGCGGCAUGCCUAACACAUGCAAGUCGAACGAGACCUUCGGGUCUAGUGGCGCACGGGGGGGUAAGGCGGGGGAAGCUGCCCGUAGGUACGGAGUAACUCCCCGAGAGGGGACCUAAUACAGGUUAGGGUCUUCGCGCCAAGGAGUUAUCGCCUUUGGAUGGGGCUGGGUAGGAUUGGGCAGUUGGUAGGGUAAACGCAUGCCAAGGGCACGAUGCAUGGCUGGUGGGGGAGCAUGACCAUCCACACUGGGACUGAGACACGGCCCACACUCCUACGGGAGGGUGCAGUGGGGAAUAUUGGACGCUGGGGGAAAGCCUGAUCCAGCAGUGCCGCGUAAGACAGGAAGGCGUUAGGGUUGUAAAGCUCUUUGACACGGGAUGAGAAUGACAGUACCGGGAGAAGAAGCUCCGGCUAACUACGUG